AAAAGUGAGGCUAUCAGCACUAAAGCACCGGAUCCUAUCAGAACACCAAAGUUAAACGUGCUCCCAUCAGAACACCGAAGUUAAACAUGCUUGAGAGAGAGUAGUACUAGGAUAGGUGAUCUCCUGGAAAGUCCUCGUGUUGCAUCCC
RNAcentral lists this ribosomal RNA (148 nucleotides) under Oryza meridionalis. Lineage: Eukaryota; Viridiplantae; Streptophyta; Magnoliopsida; Poales; Poaceae. The record is from RNAcentral.